GACGAACGCUGGCGGCGUGCUUAACACAUGCAAGUCGAACGGAAAGGCCCUGCGUUUGUGGGGUGCUCGAGUGGCGAACGGGUGAGUAACACGUGAGUAACCUGCCCUUGACUUUGGGAUAACUUCAGGAAACUGGGGCUAAUACCGGAUAGGAGCUCCUGCUGCAUGGUGGGGGUGGGAAAGUUUCGGCGGGUGGGGAUGGACUCGCGGCUUAUCAGCUUGUUGGUGGGGUAGUGGCUUACCAAGGCUUUGACGGGUAGCCGGCCUGAGAGGGUGACCGGCCACAUUGGGACUGAGAUACGGCCCAGACUCCUACGGGAGGCAGCAGUGGGGAAUAUUGCACAAUGGGCGGAAGCCUGAUGCAGCAACGCCGCGUGCGGGAUGACGGCCUUCGGGUUGUAAACCGCUUUCGCCUGUGACGAAGCGUGAGUGACGGUAAUGGGUAAAGAAGCACCGGCUAACUACGUG
Molecule: ribosomal RNA, 468 nt
Filed under: uncultured bacterium
Lineage: Bacteria
Description: partial 16S ribosomal RNA
Rfam family: Bacterial small subunit ribosomal RNA
Source: RNAcentral